UUUCCGUAGGUGAACCUGCGGAAGGAUCAUUAUUGUAUAACCGAGGUGCGAGGGCUGUCGCUGACCCGAAAGGUCGUGCACGCUCGGGUGCCCUCACACACAUCCAUCUCACCCCUAUGUGCACCACCGCGUGGGUCCCCCUUUGGCUUGUUCGGAGGGGGGCUUACGUUUUCACACAAACUUUGUAUGCAGUGUAGAAUGUAUUUUUUGUUUUUGCGAUCACGCAAUCAAUACAACUUUCAACAACGGAUCUCUUGGCUCUC
This 263-nucleotide unclassified non-coding RNA is filed under the name plant metagenome. RNAcentral's name for it is "partial contains small subunit ribosomal RNA, internal transcribed spacer 1, and 5.8S ribosomal RNA". The record is from RNAcentral.